CAGAGUUUAUCUUAACUCCCAAACCCCAUGUGAACAUACCUUACGUUGCCUCGGCAGGUCGCGUCGUACCCGGGAGGGCCCUACCCUGUAGGGCAUGACCUGGUGCGCGCGGGUAACCCUGCCGGCGGCCCCUGAAACUCUGUUUUUUACAUUAGAAUUCUGAAUCUAUAACUAAAUAAGUUA
Molecule: unclassified non-coding RNA, 183 nt
Filed under: uncultured Rosellinia
Lineage: Eukaryota; Fungi; Ascomycota; Sordariomycetes; Xylariales; Xylariaceae
Description: sequence contains ITS1
Source: RNAcentral